CCUACGGGCGGCAGCAGUGAGGAAUAUUGGUCAAUGGGCGCAAGCCUGAACCAGCCAAGUCGCGUGAGGGAAGACGGCCCUACGGGUUGUAAACCUCUUUUGCCGGGGAGCAAGCCUGAGCACGUGUGCCCAGGCGGAGAGUACCCGGAGAAAAAGCAUCGGCUAACUCCGUGCCAGCAGCCGCGGUAAUACGGAGGAUGCGAGCGUUAUCCGGAUUUAUUGGGUUUAAAGGGUGCGCAGGGGGGCUGUUAAGCCGGCGGUAAAAAUUCAGGGCUCAACCCUGUCGAGCCGUCGGAAAUGGGAGUGUUGAGUGGGAGAGAAGUAUGGGGAAUGCGGGGGGUAGUGGGGAAAAGCAU
RNAcentral lists this ribosomal RNA (356 nucleotides) under uncultured bacterium. RNAcentral describes it as "partial 16S ribosomal RNA". It matches the Rfam family "Bacterial small subunit ribosomal RNA", at positions 338 to 691 of the family's 1533-position model. The record is from RNAcentral.